Molecule: long non-coding RNA, 3466 nt
Organism: Bombus pascuorum
Lineage: Eukaryota; Metazoa; Arthropoda; Insecta; Hymenoptera; Apidae
Exons: 2
Source: RefSeq, a predicted model, not a curated record
AGUUUAGAGUAGGUUAGUAUCGCGCAAGAUGUCAGUAUCCUUUCUUCGUAUGCAAUGACGAAGUCGCACUUUUGUAGUUAGCGUGUUUCGCUGUUUAGUUUCUCUAGUCUGCCAGUGUCGUGCAAUUUGUUGUCGCCUAAGGUCGCUCAAAUCGACGAUGCGAUUGAGUAAAAGCCACUUGUUGGGUCUAGUGCCUGGAAAGAAAUUAGGAAUAGAGCUGCAUGCAAUUCGUUUGUUCCCUUUUAACGGGUGGUUGCUUAGCUCGCAGAUAUUAUCUCGUUUAUCUGGACAACGGCGAGCAACGUGGAUGAUGAUUAUGACGAUGGUGGUUUCGUUUUCUCGGACGACGCAAGAGGCAUGGAGAACAAAACGUAUGAACGUAAGAGAUCAGUGAGCCGUGUGAUCGAUGAACGAUGAACGAUGAUCCAUGAUGCCUGGCCACGUUUCUGUCAGUCGUUCGGUCGUUGAUCGUCGCCAUUUCCAUCCAUCGACACUUCCAUUGUUGACGACAUCGAACAACACGAGAGACAUCCACCGAUUUUUAACGGACAAUCGUAUUAAUGUCACGAUGGAGUGCAGGCAAAGGUGGAGGGCUCUUUUCAUAAGGAUACGAGACGGAUCCUCCAGGAUGGCGUUUCUGGCUUCUGAGAAAGGCCUUGGAGAGAAAUAUUCGCGGACCGCCGAAUAUUUACACCUCCGACAAAGUUAACGUGUCUUUACAGCCUUCCUUUUCGUUCGUUUAUUUAUUUUCGAUUUUCAAAGUUUUAACUUUUAUCUUAACUUACUCGUCUAUCCAACAGGCAGAAGCCAAAAGCACCUGGUUACAAAUUACUGACAAGAACUUUGACAAGAAUUAUCAACUAAAGGAAGAAAACUCCGAGAACGAGCGGUUAUAAUUAAUUAAUUAAUUGGAUUCAACGACGAUAAUGCUUUCGUUCCACAUUCUCAUGCGUUUCUUCGUUCAUUCUCUUUUUCGUUCUCACUCAGGUCUUUUUUGCUUUCAUUCGUAUUUUUUUGUCGUUUCCGUUCUUUUUUUCUUUUUUUUACUUUUUGGCACUAGAAUUUUUAUAAUUAUAUUUUAUCUCUCGUUCGUGAACGUUCGAGUCGCGUGUUUACAACAACGUUUAAACUUUCCAAACUUCUCUUUUCGUUUCGUUUCGCGCUUCUUUUUCUUUCUCGAUUCUUUCUGUCUGAUCUUUUCUGUGGUUUUUAUAAUUACUUUUUUGAUUUGGUUUUACGACGUCGUUCACUCUCUUUGGUUUGGACUUUUGCUCAGAGUUCUUUAGUACGUACCGGGGAUGAAGCGUUCUACAGGUUUGUAUUGAUGCGGGUAGAUCUGCCUCGGUGUGUAACCGUAGAUCUCACGGUGGACGGGCAGGUACCUUCAGGGAAUAACGUUUACUUUAAUAAAAAAAAAGUUUGCUUCGUCUUAUUAUUUAAGAUGAUAAAUAAUAUUAUUCAAGAUAAUUAAAGCUAUUGCCAGAUUGUAAGAACAUAGUCCAUCAUUUUGUCGUUGCUCAAGUGUAUAAAUAACAGAAAACAAUCAUCUUUUACAUCGACUUUGAGAUUUUGCAACAUUCCAUAAGGUUAUUCUAUAAAAAUGUUCGUCACUACGUUUGACCAUGUAUUGUAUAGCAGUCUUAUUAUGAAAGAUACGUUAAGAUGAUCUUUCUUUUAUCUUUUAUCGCACGAGUGGCCUGCCUACCUAAUUAAAUUAUUUAUGUUAUCAAAGUUUCAACGAAGUAUCGAUUCUUAAGCAUCGAUUGAAAUAUUGUUAGUUAACGAGUUUCAAAGGUACUCCAAGAAAUCUUACCUGUAUCCAGGAACGUUGAUGCGAUCAGCCGCAUGGAUGGGGGUUUCAAAGAUAGACUUUCCAAAUGGCCACGAGGUGGAUAGCUCAGGAUAAUCUGAACGGAAAAUGCUGCGAGGUCUGUGCGUGUGUUCAGGGGCUCUCAUAUCGUCGGUGCCUGUAAACAGUAAUAGUUAUAUAGGAUGUUAACACCUCUGUAAACACCGAUACCAAAAGUAUUGUACAAGACAAAUUGCGACAAACGUACUUCCUUAAAAAAUCUCUCAAUUAUUACAAAAUUUGGAAGUUACGUGAUUUCGUUUGAAAAAGGUGAGAAGAGAAUAAGAAGCGCGAAAGAAAUUAAAGCAACUAAGAUUUCGUUCAGAAGGAAUUCGAUAUUAUAAAAAUUAAAUAUACAUAAAGCUGAUAGAGGAGAAACUAACUUUUUCCAGCAGCGAUCGAGUUUAAAUAGAAAGCGAAUAAACUUUCGAGUUAAAGUCUGUUCGCGUUAAAUUCCUUAAUUCCAAGUAAUGCACGAAGGAGUACCUUUUAAGGCUCGAACGUAACUCUGCCAGAAUUUGGCCUUCCUUGUGAUAGGCUCGUUGCGCCCGAUCAUGUCGAGAUUGCUUCUAAAGCGCGCGUCCAUUUUGCCGCUCUACUGAACUGCUAACCACACUCGUUCGCUGAAAUAAACGAACGUAAAUUACUUUUUGCGUUUUUAUAAUCCAACGCGUGAAGAUAUCCGAUGAUCUAAUUUGUCCGCGUCAGGAAGGAAAGAUCGACGAUUGUGAUUCAGAUUCGAUAUAGGAAUUGCUCUUCGCUGGCAUAAAUCUUGUAUGUUAGCGAUAAUGUAAUUUCUGAAAGAGAUUAAUCCUUAAUUAAUGUAACACUACGUAUUCUUUUGUCAGUUAAUCAUUUGCGGAAUAAAAAUGGUUACGAUAAAUGUCUAAGGUUAGAGAAAAACAUUGCGUAAGCGCAUGUUAAUUAUAAAAUACGACGUCUUCGAUAUUUCAAAUUUAAAAUACUUCAGCGUGCCAAAUUUCAAAUGUUUAGAAUAUAUAAUAUUUCUCAAUAAGAUCGCUAGAAAUAUCAAAGUGCGAUAAACUUAAAUAGAAGACUACAAUUUCUUAGAAAUACAGUUUUCACGGAAAUUUGUAAACACAACGGUAUGUGUAUAAUCGAUCUCAUAAACAACAAGGAAUUUCUAAAUUUGAAAUACAUAAAAAAAAAAGACAGCGCCGUAAAAUAUAUCUUCGCUAAGAUUAUAUUUACGUUAAAAUUUCCCUGUUUGGUAUCUGGGAUAGUAUUUAACAAGUACGAGGAUAAUAAUGCAACAAAUUUAGGGCUUGUAAUGCUAGCAGACAGUAAACGCGCUAAAAAUAAGAAACUUAUGGACGAUAAUUUGCAAAGGUGUUUGUUGGCAUCCUGUCGCUUUCUAAGUAUAGCGGACACGAUUUUUCGCGGUCGAUUUCUUCAUCAUUCUUGUUAAACCAGAUUUUAUAAUUAUAUAUAUUUACAACUACUAUUUAAAACUGGGAGUAAAAAAUAGAUUUCAUUAACACUUUGUAUUAACACAUACUACUCGGUAUUAACACAUAAUGCCAUCUAGUGACAAGACGAAAAUCACAUUAGCAUAUUACGUUUUAUAUUUAAUAAAAUUUAAAAUUUAUAAACUUA